Molecule: transfer RNA, 74 nt
Organism: Tistrella mobilis KA081020-065
Lineage: Bacteria; Pseudomonadati; Pseudomonadota; Alphaproteobacteria; Geminicoccales; Geminicoccaceae
Rfam family: tRNA
About the family: Transfer RNA (tRNA) molecules are approximately 80 nucleotides in length. Their secondary structure includes four short double-helical elements and three loops (D, anti-codon, and T loops).
Source: Rfam
CCUUUCGUAGCUCAGCUGGAGAGAGCACCGGUGUUGGAAACCGGAGGUCGCAGGUUCGAGUCCUGCCGGGAGAU